CCCACUUCUCGGACUUUUGGCUAAGAUCAAGGUUAGUAUUUGAUCUUAUCAGUUUACCAUUCGAUACGUACCCCACACGGGGAAUAACGUAUUAAGUCGAUUUUUAGAAGAGGGAAUCGGCAAAAUGUAA
This is a small nuclear RNA of 130 nucleotides. Its record names the gene U2. It matches the Rfam family "U2 spliceosomal RNA". Rfam says of the family: U2 is a small nuclear RNA (snRNA) component of the spliceosome (involved in pre-mRNA splicing). Complementary binding between U2 snRNA (in an area lying towards the 5' end but 3' to hairpin I) and the branchpoint sequence (BPS) of the intron results the bulging out of an unpaired adenosine, on the BPS, which initiates a nucleophilic attack at the intronic 5' splice site, thus starting the first of two transesterification reactions that mediate splicing. The record is from Ensembl.